Long non-coding RNA from Gallus gallus (chicken), 8445 nucleotides. The record is from Ensembl. NCBI's taxonomy places the organism in Eukaryota, Metazoa, Chordata, Aves, Galliformes, Phasianidae.
GGGGUCUGCAUAAGGAGUAUACAAAUAAUGGUAGUUUUCUUCUCCUCCCUUCCCUACUUUCCUGAGAGAACUGAAGUUUGAGAGUAGAAGGCAUGCCCUUAGGUGGGAACAAGGUGAUUAUCUUGGAUCAGUAGAAGUUUCUACCUAAGUUCUCAGGAUUAACACCAGUGAAAAAUGGAGGAUAGCUCUUGUAGAUGUUGCUGGUGAAAGAGGUGAGACCGUACAGCUCCAAACAUUGGCUGUUUCCAGGAGCACAUCUCUGCUGCCAUUUCUGAGUCAUGAUUAUAGAAAACCUCUGUAAGAGCUUGGAUGUACCACCAGCACUUGACGUGCAGCAGAUAAACUUGCAUAAGAAAGACCUGGUAAUGUCGAUAGUGAUGACAGCAAAUCAACCUUCCAUGUCGGCAUAGGGCUGAAACCAAAGAUAAAUCUACAAGAAGAGACUUCUAUGUUGAUGCCACCUCUGCAUCACCUUGGGGCCUUUCCUUGCUCCCCAGGAGCCUCAGCAAUUAUUCCUAGCACAAGGAAUUAAAGGUUGACUCUUCUAAAAGAAAGAACAGAUUUUCAUUGGAAGGGAAAAGAAAAAGAGGAAGAAAAAUGUGACUACAGAUGUACCGGUUGUAUUCAGGAGAAGUGAGGCUUAGCAGAAGCUGCUUGGCAGGAAUGGUGCUAUAAAACCCCACAUGGUCAUGAGUUGCUCCCGGAAACCAGGCAGCUGUCUAUCCAGGACAGCAUGAAAUGAAACAGGAAAGGAAGGUUCUUCUAAGGAGGCUUUCACAGUACAGUCACUCCUGGAAGGUUCUCCACCAGCCUCAAACUUGUGAAGCAGAGGAUGAAGUCCCAGACACUGGCAUCAGAAAGAAAAGCCUCUUGGCUGAAGAGCACAAUGGUGGAGUAGAAGCAAGAGGACAUCCUCUGGUCAUGCGGGAAGCUCUCAUGUCUACACAGCCUGAAUCCUCACCAUGAAAAGCUUUGAGGAGAAAGGGAGAGACUGGGGCAGAGAAAAAUGGACACAGCCUCCCAUGAGUACAGCAAAUGCCUCCACAGACUCUUUCAAAGCUCCAUAUUCACUGAUAUACACUCAGCGUCCCUCUUUUGUAUGACCUCUUGAAGUUAUCCCCACUUUGAUUUUCCGUGAUCAUAACCCAAACUUUUCCUUCUUUCUUUCUUUUUUUUUUUUUUUGUUGUUUUGUUUUGGUUUUGUUUUGUUUUUGGUUUCUUUGUGGAGUGAAAAGGAGGCUGACCUUCUUAAAACAGAGGAACAUUUCAGAGUUAUCCAACACAUGAAAUUAUACUUCCAAAAAUCAGAGAUGUUCUCCAGUACUCAUUAAAGCUAGCCAGAAAUGGAACUAAUAUAAACCUUGGCCAUUCUCCCAGCUGAGUGCCCUAAUAAUAGAAAUGCCCCUCUGACUGAGUAGCUGAUACUGGGGUUCUGCCAAGUCAUUUCCAUUAAAAAGAGCCAUUGGUGACAGACGUCCAGUACAAUAUCAUUGGUGGAGUCCUGCUUGUCUUUCUUAGUGCACCACUGGCAUGAGCAAGAAAAAGUCCAUUUUCCAUGUCCUGUUUUCAGUUCUCUUUCUGUAAUUAGCACUUUCCUGAUGUCUCUGCUCUUCAUGAGGUCUCUCCAAAGCCUGCUUCUCUUUACUUUCUGGUUAUGGUAUGUGCACAAACGCUACAAAUAAAUUCACCCUCUCACCCUUGCAGCAGCUUGUAGAAAGCCUUCCAAGCCAAUGUAACUGAGUUGGGGAGCAGUGCUGUGUGCAACCCAUUGCUGGUGGGUCAAUUUUUUCUAUCUCUAUUAUUUUACAAGGGUCACUUCUUCCAUCUAGCCUGAAGGAAGAAUUGCUAGUGAAAUUGAGGGAAGCUAUUAAACCUAUCAGGUUGCAGUGGCUAGAGAUGAGAGAUAUGCACAAAGAGGCCACAAAAGCCACUGUUGCUUGGCCAUAUGGCCAUUUAGCCACUGUUAGAAAACACCACUGUAAAGGCUCCAGAAACAUCUAAAAAGUGAUUUGCACAAGCUAUGAUAACAGUAUUCAAACAGCUGUAAUGUAUCUCAUCUUGAACUACUCCAAGGACCAACACUGUUUGCAUCUUAAUCUAGAUACUCUUGGACCUGUCCUUUUCUACAAGGCAAGAUUUCUUGUUCUUCAUAGGACACCUACGAAGUUGGGUGGCUUUUCCAGGCAUUGGUGUCAUAGGAAAUCUCCUUGGCCAUGUCUGGGGUUUUUGGAACCUGUCUGUGUCAUUGUGGCUCCUUUGCCAGCAAAAAGUGCAGGGAAAGGCUGAAGAGCUCAUCAUUCAUCUUUUUCCUUCUGUCUUAUAAAUAUUAGCUCAGAUUUUAACUUGCAGAAGAGAAGUACCUCAAUAGUUCUCCCAAUCACAUUUUAUGCCAGACUCUUCUGAUAUGACCUUAUCAGAGAUCACUGGGCAGAAUGCCUGCUUAACAAAACUCACUGCAGAUACAUCUGAGUGCUGCCAUUUGCAGGAUACCAGAUCCAUGCCUCGGCUGUUUCAGAUGACAUACAUAUUUAAUCCGUGGCAGUAUAUUAGCAGAUCAGACUUAGAUUAAUCAGGCUGAAGGUAACUUUUGGAUCUUUUCCACAAUUAGGUCAGAGAUAAAUAUGGUAGAUUGUUAUGUGCCACAACACAAGCAAGCACUGGGCAGCAGGUGAAAUUGUCAGGGACAUCAGCCAAAGAGAUACUGUGAUGAGAUUAAGGGAAGUGAAGUCAAUAGCAUCUUUGUGUAUCUUCAUGUGUGUGCACAGAUGUGAUUUGAGCUUUUCAAUUUAAAGAAGCCGCUAAUUAACACUGAAUUUUUCUCUGCUGUUAUAGCAGUGAACGUACAAAUGUGCUUUAUGCUAAAAUAUCCUUUUCUAUUUCCUUAGUGUUGUAAAAUAGGUCCUGCCCACUGAUACUGAUAGAGAAAGCUGGAGCUAGAAUAGCAACACAGCUGUUCAAAACCAAGGGGAAGUCCUUAUUUUUGAGGCUCAGUAAUGAUUGAAAUACAGUCAGCAAACAAAAGGGAAUUAGUACCUUUAAAAUGCAUUUAGGGUGUCCAAUAUAAAAUGUGACAGUGGAUAUUUGUGGGACAAUUUUCUGCAAAUUAAAAAUUGAGCUAAGGGUAAUAAAUCAAAGGAAAUAUUUAAAAGCUCUCUAGCCUUUACCAGUACCCCUUGGAAAGGGCUUCUAAAGUACUAUUCUACACACACAUUCUGAUGAGAGAAAAUUUUGAUUAAAAUAUUAAAAUGUUUUUGGGAUUUUUUUCAUUUUUAUGCUCACUUAUUGCACUUGUAACACCAGGAGGGCAAGUGGUGAUACCUUCAUUACAGUAAUUCAAGGAAAAGAAGUCAGUGGACUCCAAAGUGAAAAGCAAAUGUGCUGUAACAGUGGAAAGCUAAGAUGCAGCUGAGAUCUUGCCCACAGUGAAGCUUCCUAAAGGAUUCUUCACCUUCAAACUGCAAUGGUUAGGAUUACAUCAGUACAGAGGUCAGUACAGUACAAAAGUUUUUACUUGAGUUGCAAUAAGAAAAAGAAAAAAAGAGAGAGAGAGAUGUAUAUAUACGUACACAUAUUUUUUCUUUGUUUCUUUCAUGGGUUAGUGGAAAAUUCUGAUAUUCUUCCAAGCAGGGGACAUGCUUUCAGGGUCCUAUAGCAUUGCAUGUGAUACACAUGAAAGGGGAACUCAGCUUCCCUGUGGCAGGUAGCUCUUCCAGAUAAUAGCUUUUUUAAGCUAAUGCCUUGGUAAUAGCCCAUCUCCUUAACCAUCCUCUGAAGAGUAUCAUUGGCAAGUACAAUUAGGUCCCACACUUCUCUCAGAAGAUGGAUCCCACUAGCUUAUUACAGGAAAAAUAUACUCACUCUCCUUUUUCAAAGGUUAACUAGCUCAUCACAGAUAUUUAUCAAUUCUGUUCUUGUUGGCCUCUCCCAAAAGCAGCAAUCCAUGUCUGUCCUUCAUACUUCAAGCAAUGGUCUAGAGGACACCUUUCUCCACACAGUGGCAGUCUUCUUACAGACUCUCAAACCUCUUCACACCAUUUCUGGCUGCCAAUGCAGAGAGAGGAGGUAGUAGUGUCUCCAAUGUGAAAUAAAUGUCUAGUGCUCACAUUCUCUCAGUGGAAAAUGCUUGCUAGAGGCUCAGUCUGGCUCUACAUGCAACAUUCUUAUUUGGAGCUUGCGUCCUAUCAGGCAUUUUGCAGUAGGAUCUUCAAUUUUAUUAGCAGGACUGUACCCAGGAGACAAGAGCGAAAUUAUUCUGUAAAUAUGUAUUUUAGAAUUGAUUCUUCUUUGAUGAGUUUUCGUCCUUCCCAUUAGUCUUAUCUGGAGGGGAUUCUGCUCCUGGCCCCACCACUGCUUUGCUUUUGGCUGUUUCUUGGCCGUUUCUUGGCCAUUUCUCAUCCCUGAGAGUGACCUUUCUCCCAUUCCCCUUGACAGGUCUUGCUCAAGGAUGCUGUGCUGAGUUGUUGUGUACACUGACUGGGUCUUUUCCCAACCUGCUCCUUGACAGCACUCUGGAGCUCCCCACUGAACACCUGGCGGUGGGAUAGGCUGUGUGUGCUGGUAAAAUUAUCUUUGAGCUGUCACCUACAGCAUGCUUAGAUUCAGAAUAUGCUGCAAGCCUCAGAGGCCUUCUGAAUGGCAUAUCCUAGGUUUGGUCCUCAGGAGCACCAUGAAAAUCACCCUUGUACGUGUGGCCCUCCUCCCACACCAAACAUUAGUGGUGCCUCCUCCUUUCUCUGCUCUCACUGCCCCACUCUGGAGCCACGGUGUUCUGCGUAAUGACCAUUAAAGUUGUUUUUCUAGGGCAUAUCCAGAUUGCUCUGGAUUGCUCCGUCUCAGGGGCCGUGCAAGGCAGACAAAGGGCACUUGAAGCUCAAAGAAGGGAAUUUCCCAGGACCAAAAGUGCAAAGAUGGCAUUGAUUCUGCUACAGUGUUGUGAAGAUUAGCAUUCUGAGUCACCUGGGGGAAAAUGAAUCCAUUUUCCCUGGUUCCAUUCUAAUUCAUUUGCCAAAGAAAAGGCAAAACAGAAAUCUGUGGAACUUUCACCUUUGUGUCAAUGCACUGUCACUAAGAGCUACUAAAGAACAUAUUCCCCCUCCGGGCCCUCUGAGGUCACAUAGUUUUUCACAGAUAGCGGAAAGAGGAGCAAUGGCUCCAGCUGCCACCAUCCUAGCACUUUGCUAAAAGUCAGAUUCAGACUUUUUAGUUAGCUGAAAAGGCUGUGGUUUUGAAUCAGUUAUAUAGCUGUUCAGAUGACUAGAGAGCAUUUUAUAUUAUUUGUAUCAGUAAAAAUGUAGUGUUUAGCACAAGUAAAAUGCUGUCAGGAUCCCCAGAAUUAACUUCUUUUUCAUUAAUACUGCCUCACAGGCUUUCUCCAUAGCAAGAACAUUAAUUGAGCACUUUCGUUUCAGUGGGAACUCACAGAACUGAACGCAUGCUUUUCACAAAGUCAGUUUUCUUAAUUAUUAUUUGAGAUGCUUGUUUUGACUCAAAUUUCUAUUCUUCCUUAGAGGAUGCUGAAGAGAACUAAUCCACUCUGAAUAUUUUCCCUCCCAGAUUAUUUCUGCUACUUAGCAUUGGAAACUUAUCCUUCAUCAGGGACUGAUCUGGAAGCUGGUGAAGUCAGUGAAGCCCUUUUUAUAAUUUUUUUUCUUCUGAUUUCCAUGAGCACUGCAUUGGAAUUAGAAGCAAACUGGCUAUAUAAGUUUGUCUGGAACUGGUGAAACUGCUCUUGUUCUGCAGCUUAGCCCUAAAUGUGAUGACAUUUCACAUUUUCCAUGCAAAAGUAGGAGAAGUAUCUUCAAAUUGCAUAAAUAUCUUCCUUUUCUCUUCCUGUCAAGCCAGAGAAGAUUAAUUUUUAAAGUAAAAUCUGUAGGGGGCAUUUAUGGAGAAAGUGUGACUGCUCAGAUUACUCUUCUAGGCAGGAGUUCCUUCAGGCAGCUUUGGUUUUGGCUUUCCAGUUCUCAAAAGAAGUUUAAGACAUGAACUUCUAUGUUGAAAAGCAUUAGAAUAAAUUACCUUGAAGGCCUGGAAGAAGCUGUUAUUUUUUAAGAUAUUGGAUUAUAGAUAAUGAAAAUAAAUAGAUUCAUUAAAAUAUUUCCAUGCUACUUUAUGUAAUGCUGAUCUCAUCCUAUAGCUUUUGUUUCUUUGUACCUUGCUGUUUUCUAAUUUUAAAGAAUAAGGAUUAGAGAGCUCUACAUAUUCUCUUUAUGCCCACACAUUAAAUUUAUUCUCUCUGUAUUUAGAAAUAUAUUUCUAAACAUAGAAAUGUAAAUAUUGUGCUGAGUCAGAUCUUCUGACUAUAUUCAUGAAUCGUAGGAUCAUAGAAUCAUUUCAAUUGGAAGGAUCCCUUUACGGUCACCUAGUCCAACUCCCUUCAAUGAACAGGGAUACCUACAGCUACAUCUGGGUCCUCAGAGCCCAACCAGCCUGACCUCGAGUGUCUCCAGGGAUGGGGCAUCCAUCACCUCUCUGGGCAACCUGUGCCAGUGCUUCACCAAUAUUAUAAAAAACUUCUCCCUUACAUCCAAACUAAACCUCCUGUCUUUUAGUUUGAAACCAUUUCUCCUUGUCCUAUAACCACAGACCCUGCUAAAGAGUCUGUCCCCUUUCUUCUUAUAGCCUCCCUUUAGAUACUGAAAGGAAAUGUGACUUCAGGUGAUGCAGAACCCUGUUGCUGAGGUUAGGAUACCACUUCAGCACAGUGAGAGUCCUUUGCAGGAAAUGCCAAUGUCUGCAAUCUCACAGAUUACUUCCACAUUCCUCUAGAAUGUUUUCAGUAACAUUACUUAUUUAACGCUGUAAGUUUUGGCUGCUGCCUCACCUUUUCUCAGCAGCUCCUGGGCCACCAAUGUCAAUAACAGGUUUGAAAAAAGAUGAAGGGCUCUAGCAGUUCAGCCUGCAGUAGCUAAAUAUAAUUUUCCCAUCAGUUCUUUCCUAUUGCCUAUUUCCUACUGCAUCUCAUGCUGGGGAAGAAGUGAAGCAGGGUGAGAAAGUCACAGUGCCUGUGGAGGAGUGGGGUUGGCCUUUACUCCUCACUUCUGCAGCAGGAGAAAAAAAUCUGUCCCCAGAGGCAUCAUAUAUCCCUGGAUUUCCCGCCCCCACCCCCCCCCCUCCAACAGUUAUAAAUUGUCAGUAACUCAUGUGAGACUCUAAAAGCUUCUAUUGCUAUAACACCUAUGACCUAUGAUUCAGAGCAUCAUAAGUGAUGGCUCUGUAGCCUGAAAAAAUAUGGAGAAAAAGUACUGAGAAGCAAAAAGAGAUCUCUCAUGUUGCACAUUUUUGACACUUUCCUCCUAUGGCAAUGAGAUUUUUCUUAAGGAUUCUUUUUAUUGACUUGGCUUUAUCAUAGUGCAUGACAGCAUCUAUCCAGUGAGAGAUGACUUAACCUUUCUCCUCAAGUACUGAACCAGUCAGGUCCAGCCAGUCACAACAGGAUGCCAAAGACCUGACCUGAUGCUACACUCUUGAAGACCCACUUUAAAGACAUGUUUUCUUGAUAAAUUAGAAGUCAUUAUAAUUGUUUUACAGUUAAAUGUGAGUAGUUUAAAUGCCUCAGGGCUUCAUUUUGUCUUACUAGCUAGAAUUUUGUCCUGCAGCUUUGCCAAUAUGUCUGCACACUCUUUAGAAUUAAUCCUGGAUCUCCCUCCUUCCAUCCUACUGUAUUUCCAACUUCACAGAGUCUAUUUGUUUGGGACUUAUUUUCUAAGCCAUUAUUUUUCCUCUUACAUUAGUGUCUUGAAAUGGAACUACUCCACUGUUUUAAUCUACUACUUCUCUGAGUGCAAUAUGACUGCUUCAGUCCUUACUUCUCUGAUAAAUCUGCUGAGCAUUCAUUCAGGAAAGCUGUGUCCUUCUGCAAGGCGACCUACCACUGUUAUCUGACUUUUUAUCUGAAGGCAGUUUCUCAGCCAGUUUACAUUUUCCUGGUGUCAGUCAUGCACUUUGAGGGAAGGUUCUCUGAUAUCAGCCUGAUAUCAAAUCCCCUCUGCGUGAGAUAGUUCACAGGACCAUUGCACAGCAUGCUGAGAACUCUUCUGUAUCAUGAUGAGUGUUAUCAGCAUACCUCAAACUUGAUCAGCAGAAUGUAUUCUAGCAAACUAUUUAGUUGAUGCUUAUAGCCAUGCACUGCAAAGUACACAUCUGGAUCCACAGUCUCAAAGACAUGAAGCAGGUUACGGCAAUUCAGUCACAAAUGUAAGUGACAGGGGUGUUUGCAGACACAAGGAGGGUAAGGGUAAUGUAUACAACAUUGGCUUUCUGCCAUAAAUUUACAUAACUGCUUGGGAAUUAACCUGUCAAGACUCCUGGAUUCCCUCCCUGGUCAUGGGAGGCACAACUGGUGGAAGAUGCUCAGGUUGGGCUCAGCCUUGCACAACUUGCGGAAUAUGUCACAUUCUAACUGCACUUUUGAGACACUCAUUGGCAUAAUCCCAGGGACAAGAACAC